Long non-coding RNA from Rhipicephalus sanguineus (brown dog tick), 579 nucleotides. RefSeq lists it as uncharacterized. The record is from RefSeq and is a predicted model, not a curated record. The transcript has 3 exons. Lineage: Eukaryota; Metazoa; Arthropoda; Arachnida; Ixodida; Ixodidae.
GAGAGAGAAAGAGCCGAGAGAGCGGGUACUGCUGGUACGCCGGUACAUUCCAACGUGUUUCUUCGAUCUUUGUGCGUGCUUCUUCCAUGUCGGUUUGGUGCGCCAUUUUGUCUUUUUUUUGCGUGGCGUGCGAGUGCCUGUGCAACGCGCGUGUGUGCUUUGGAGCUGCAGCCUCAACUCGAGUGCACGUGUAAAGGUUCACAGGACAGGUCUGAAAGGUCAACGUCAAUCAUAUUUGGCCGUGGAUAUCACUGCAACUUUGGCACUCGACCAAGCGAGGUACAUUGGACAGAUCAACCGGACCAAAAGGCGGGGUAAAGGAAAAGGCAGCGGAAUAGGACCAAGGGUGCUCAGCCUUAUCAAAGCGCUUUGAAUAAUAAAUGUGCAAGUAUUGACAAAAGCUUUCGAUGCAUAUUUUAUUAGGUACUACCCAUGUCGAGUGAUGGUCGCAUGGUGAGGUACACCACUCUACAGUUCAUAGUGACACAGAAUACACUUCAUCUCUUGGGCCAUCAUACUAACAAUGCAGCUGCAUUUCAUGUUGAGAGUCUCUUGUCACCUCGCAGAGAAAAUGCUACA